GAUGAACGCUGGCGGCGUGCCUAAUACAUGCAAGUCGAGCGAACGGACGAGAAGCUUGCUUCUCUGAUGUUAGCGGCGGACGGGUGAGUAACACGUGGAUAACCUACCUAUAAGACUGGGAUAACUUCGGGAAACCGGAGCUAAUACCGGAUGAUAUUUUGAACCGCAUGGUUCAAAAGUGAAAGACGGUCUUGCUGUCACUUAUAGAUGGAUCCGCGCUGCAUUAGCUAGUUGGUAAGGUAACGGCUUACCAAGGCAACGAUGCAUAGCCGACCUGAGAGGGUGAUCGGCCACACUGGAACUGAGACACGGUCCUGACUCCUACGGGAGGCAGCAGUAGGGAAUCUUCCGCAAUGGGCGAAAGCCUGACGGAGCAACGCCGCGUGAGUGAUGAAGGUCUUCGGAUCGUAAAACUCUGUUAUUAGGGAAGAACAUAUGUGUAAGUAACUGUGCACAUCUUGACGGUACCUAAUCAGAAAGCCACGGCUAACUACGUG
This 497-nucleotide ribosomal RNA is filed under the name uncultured bacterium. Its description in RNAcentral is "partial 16S ribosomal RNA". It matches the Rfam family "Bacterial small subunit ribosomal RNA", at positions 28 to 507 of the family's 1533-position model. The record is from RNAcentral.